AUGCUAUGCAAAUGUACUGAUCCUAAAUCUACCCCUUUCGUGUCCUACUUCUUUGGGAUGUUACACUUGCGUCCAGUGUGUACGUCUUCGUGGUGUGCUUGGAAAUGGCAUCCUUCGUUGGCCAGUGUUGUGGCUCAUCAGUGUCACAACGCGGUGUUGGAGAAGCUAGAGGUGGAGGGGUUGUUGCUCCCCUCCAUCCGUUACACGUGGAGGGUGUUCGGGACAGAGGUAACGCCAUUCCCGACGAGAGAUGAACGAGUGCUGCUCAUGGCCUUCGUCGAGUGGGGGCACUCCUUCCCUGUCAGCUGUUUCGUGAAGCAGUGA
RNAcentral lists this ribosomal RNA (324 nucleotides) under Triticum aestivum (bread wheat). RNAcentral describes it as "partial small subunit ribosomal RNA". The record is from RNAcentral. Lineage: Eukaryota; Viridiplantae; Streptophyta; Magnoliopsida; Poales; Poaceae.